RNAcentral lists this ribosomal RNA (779 nucleotides) under uncultured archaeon. Its description in RNAcentral is "bacterial SSU rRNA". It matches the Rfam family "Archaeal small subunit ribosomal RNA", at positions 575 to 1353 of the family's 1478-position model. The record is from RNAcentral.
UAAGAGAUACCGACAGUCUUGGAACUGGGAGAGGUAAACCGUACUUCGGGGGUAGGAGUGAAAUCUUGUAAUCCUCGAGGGACGACCUAUGGCGAAGGCAGUUUACCAGAACAGCUUCGACAGUGAGGGACGAAAGCUGGGGGAGCAAACGGGAUUAGAUACCCCGGUAGUCCCAGCCGUAAACAAUGUGCGUUAGGUGUGUCGGUAACCACGCGUUACUGAUGCGCCGAAGAGAAAUCGUGAAACGCACCACCUGGGAAGUACGGUCGCAAGGCUGAAACUUAAAGGAAUUGGCGGGGGAGCACCACAACAGGUGGAGCCUGCGGUUUAAUUGGAUUCAACGCCGGACAUCUCACCGGAUAAGACAGCUGAAUGAUUGUCAAUCUGAAGGUUUUACAUGACUAGCUGAGAGGAGGUGCAUGGCCGUCGUCAGUUCGUACUGUGAAGCAUCCUGUUAAGUCAGGCAACGAGCGAGACCCACGCCGACAAUUGCCAGCAGCAUCUCCGGAUGGCUGGGGACAUUGUUGGGACCGCCUCUGCUAAAGGGGAGGAAGGAAUGGGCAACGGUAGGUCAGCAUGCCCCGAAUUAUCCGGGCUACACGCGGGCUACAAUGGACGGGACAAUGGGUAACACCACCGAAAGGUGCAGUCAAUCUCCUAACCCCGUCCUUAGUUAGGAUUGCGGGUUGCAACUCACCCGCAUGAAUCUGGAAUCUGUAGUAAUCGCGUUUCACUAUAGCGCGGUGAAUACGUCCCUGCUCCUUGCACACACCCCCCGA